Molecule: transfer RNA, 76 nt
Filed under: Gilliamella intestini
Lineage: Bacteria; Pseudomonadati; Pseudomonadota; Gammaproteobacteria; Orbales; Orbaceae
Description: tRNA_Lys_TTT
Rfam family: tRNA
About the family: Transfer RNA (tRNA) molecules are approximately 80 nucleotides in length. Their secondary structure includes four short double-helical elements and three loops (D, anti-codon, and T loops). Further hydrogen bonds mediate the characteristic L-shaped molecular structure. tRNAs have two regions of fundamental functional importance: the anti-codon, which is responsible for specific mRNA codon recognition, and the 3' end, to which the tRNAs corresponding amino acid is attached (by aminoacyl-tRNA synthetases). tRNAs cope with the degeneracy of the genetic code in two manners: having more than one tRNA (with a specific anti-codon) for a particular amino acid; and 'wobble' base-pairing, i.e. permitting non-standard base-pairing at the 3rd anti-codon position.
Source: RNAcentral
GGGACGUUAGCUCAGUCGGUAGAGCAGCGGACUUUUAAUCCGUUGGUCGAGCGUUCGAAUCGCUCACGACCCACCA